Hipposideros armiger (great roundleaf bat) is the source of this 968-nucleotide long non-coding RNA. RefSeq lists it as uncharacterized. NCBI's taxonomy places the organism in Eukaryota, Metazoa, Chordata, Mammalia, Chiroptera, Hipposideridae. The transcript is spliced from 5 exons. The record is from RefSeq and is a predicted model, not a curated record.
CUCAUUAUGGCAGCAGAUAAAGGAGCUUGAAAUCACCAGCUGGCCUGGAUUUCCUAGUACUCCAAAUAGGCUGUCCUGAAACGUCCAGUGUCUCCCAGUUGGAAAUGGCCAGUGUUGGAGACAAUUAUUAAGCACAUAGUAGACCCUGAUACUGCGUUAGCUGCUCUGCAUCAUGGUACAUUCAAAGACGUGGCCCGUGCCUUCAUGGAGCUGUGCAGUACGUAGCAGCGGCCAUGGAGGGGGCCAGGCAGAACCUUGCCUUCUUCCACAAACUAUGAGAAAAAAAAAAGAAAGAAAGAAAGAAAGAAAAGAUGCAAGGAGAAAAACGUCAAGUAAUAACCUAAAGCCUGAGGGAAGUCUGCCACUCGCACAAGAACUUGGAGCAAGCAUGUUUUGGAGGGAAUUGAAGGAGAGCUGGGUUUUAUAUCUGAGUUGAUGUGGCAUCAAGCUGAAAGCAUGGGUGGAGGGAAGCGAGAAGCCGGAUCCAGUAACUAUACAAUGACUUUGUAGAAAUCUUUCGGAGGAAUCUUUUGGGAGUCCUAGACAAUCACAGCCAUUCUCAGGGGCUCAUCAUGGAGUAACGCUGAUUACAGUUUCUACAGAGUGAAGCACCCAGCAACUUGAUGAUCCCCAACAACCAGUAGAGGAAUCUCUCGUCCUAAGGUCCCACUCCUCCAGGAAGCUACUUUGCAUUUUCUCCCCUGCCUCAUUCUCACUUUCUGCGAUGCCUCCUUCCUCUUCAUUUUUGCCUGAUCCUGUCUAGAGUGAUUUGGCUUUUGCCAUCCUUCUGUCUACUCUCUCUGUCAAAGACCUGGAAACAGACACAAUGAUCAAACAAUCAUUCCUUUUGGGAGAGUGGGAGGUAGGGUGCCGAAGAGGUAGACUGCAAAUCUUUAUGGUUUGAUAUAUUUGUACACCUGUCUCCCUUUCAUAUGUGCAAACACAUAUAGGUCUUAUCAGAACCUCUA